This 424-nucleotide ribosomal RNA is filed under the name uncultured bacterium. RNAcentral's name for it is "partial 16S ribosomal RNA". It matches the Rfam family "Bacterial small subunit ribosomal RNA", at positions 360 to 776 of the family's 1533-position model. The record is from RNAcentral.
AAUUUUGGACAAUGGGCGCAAGCCUGAUCCAGCCAUGCCGCGUGAGUGAAGAAGGCCAUCGGGAUGUAAAGCACUUUCGGACGGAAAGCAAUCGCGCAGGCAAAUACCCUGCGCGGAGGACGGUACCGUCAUAAGAAGCACAGGCUAACUACGUUCCAGCAGCCGCGGUAAUACGGAGGGUGCGAGCGUUAAUCGGAAUUACUGGGCGUAAAGCGUGCGCAGGCGGUUGAUUAAGACAGGCGUGAAAACCCCGGGCUUAACCUGGGAACUGCGCUUGUGACUGGUCAGCUAGAGCACGGCAGACGGGGGUGGAAUUCCACGUGUAGCAGUGAAAUGCGUAGAGAUGUGGAGGAACACAGAUGGCGAAGGCAGCCCCCUGGGCCGAUACUGACGCUCAUGAACGAAAGCGUGGGUAGCAAACAGG